GGGUUGUGAGGUUAAGCGACUAAGCGUACACGGUGGAUGCCCUGGCAGUCAGAGGCGAUGAAGGACGUGCUAAUCUGCGAUAAGCGCCGGUAAGGUGAUAUGAACCGUUAUAACCGGCGAUUUCCGAAUGGGGAAACCCAGUGUGAUUCGUCACACUAUCAUUAACUGAAUCCAUAGGUUAAUGAGGCGAACCGGGGGAACUGAAACAUCUAAGUACCCCGAGGAAAAGAAAUCAACCGAGAUUCCCCCAGUAGCGGCGAGCGAACGGGGAGGAGCCCAGAGCCUGAAUCAGCAUGUGUGUUAGUGGAAGCGUCUGGAAAGGCGCGCGAUACAGGGUGACAGCCCCGUACACAAAAGCGCAUGUGCUGUGAGCUCGAUGAGUAGGGCGGGACACGUGGUAUCCUGUCUGAAUAUGGGGGGACCAUCCUCCAAGGCUAAAUACUCCUGACUGACCGAUAGUGAACCAGUACCGUGAGGGAAAGGCGAAAAGAACCCCGGCGAGGGGAGUGAAAAAGAACCUGAAACCGUGUACGUACAAGCAGUGGGAGCACCCUUCGGGGUGUGACUGCGUACCUUUUGU
This 580-nucleotide ribosomal RNA is filed under the name Salmonella enterica subsp. enterica serovar Typhimurium. Its description in RNAcentral is "partial 23S ribosomal RNA". It matches the Rfam family "Bacterial large subunit ribosomal RNA", at positions 1 to 611 of the family's 2925-position model. The record is from RNAcentral. Lineage: Bacteria; Pseudomonadati; Pseudomonadota; Gammaproteobacteria; Enterobacterales; Enterobacteriaceae.